UACAGAGGGCGCGAGCGUUAAUCGGAUUAACUGGGCGUAAAGGGCGCGUAGGCGGUUAUAUGAGUGUGAUGUGAAAGCCCUGGGCUUAACCUAGGAAGUGCAUCGCAAACGAUAUGACUGGAGUAUUGGAGAGGGUAGCGGAAUUUCCGGUGUAGCGGUGAAAUGCGUAGAGAUCGGAAGGAACGUCAAUGGCGAAGGCAGCUACCUGGCCAAAUACUGACGCUGAGGCGCGAAAGCGUGGGGAGCAAACAGG
This 253-nucleotide ribosomal RNA is filed under the name uncultured Aquicella sp. Its description in RNAcentral is "partial 16S ribosomal RNA". It matches the Rfam family "Bacterial small subunit ribosomal RNA", at positions 524 to 776 of the family's 1533-position model. Lineage: Bacteria; Pseudomonadati; Pseudomonadota; Gammaproteobacteria; Legionellales; Coxiellaceae. The record is from RNAcentral.